AUUGAACGCUGGCGGCAUGCCUUACACAUGCAAAUCGAACGGUAACGGGCCUUCGGGUGCCGACGAGUGGCGAACGGGUGAGUAAUACAUCGGAACGUGCCCGAUCGUGGGGGAUAACGAGGCGAAAGCUUUGCUAAUACCGCAUACGAUCUACGGAUGAAAGCAGGGGACCGCAAGGCCUUGCGCGGACGGAGCGGCCGAUGGCAGAUUAGGUAGUUGGUGGGAUAAAAGCUUACCAAGCCGACGAUCUGUAGCUGGUCUGAGAGGAUGAUCAGCCACACUGGGACUGAGACACGGCCCAGACUCCUACGGGAGGCAGCAGUGGGGAAUUUUGGACAAUGGGCGCAAGCCUGAUCCAGCCAUGCCGCGUGCAGGAUGAAGGCCUUCGGGUUGUAAACUGAUUUUGUACGGAACGAAAAGCCUUCUUUUAAUACAGGAGGGUCAUGACGGUACCGUAAGAAUAAGCACCGGCUAACUACGCG
This 482-nucleotide ribosomal RNA is filed under the name uncultured bacterium. RNAcentral describes it as "partial 16S ribosomal RNA". It matches the Rfam family "Bacterial small subunit ribosomal RNA", at positions 30 to 507 of the family's 1533-position model. The record is from RNAcentral.